UACGUAGGGUGCAAGCGUUGUCCGGAAUUAUUGGGCGUAAAGAGCUUGUAGGCGGUUUGUCGCGUCUGCUGUGAAAUUUCGGGGCUCAACCCCGAACUUGCAGUGGGUACGGGCAGACUAGAGUGUGGUAGGGGAGACUGGAAUUCCUGGUGUAGCGGUGAAAUGCGCAGAUAUCAGGAGGAACACCGAUGGCGAAGGCAGGUCUCUGGGCCAUAACUGACACUGAGGAACGAAAGCUAGGGGAGCGAAUGGG
This 253-nucleotide ribosomal RNA is filed under the name uncultured bacterium. RNAcentral's name for it is "partial 16S ribosomal RNA". It matches the Rfam family "Bacterial small subunit ribosomal RNA", at positions 524 to 776 of the family's 1533-position model. The record is from RNAcentral.